Molecule: long non-coding RNA, 567 nt
Organism: Cyprinus carpio (common carp)
Lineage: Eukaryota; Metazoa; Chordata; Actinopteri; Cypriniformes; Cyprinidae
Source: Ensembl
AUGUGUGUUUAUUGUCAGAAUAUGGCCAGGGCAGAUAUAGAGAUGGACAUUCAGAGACACGAGGACUCGGCGGGAGGAAGACACGGUGAUGAAGGGCCGCUCAUCAAGUACUACAGGGCCAGUGAAGUUCUGCCGGGCCCCGUGCCGGCUCUGCAGGGGCUCCUCAGGAAGGGACCGGCCACCUGCGCGGCCAUUCAAUCAUCCAGUGGGAUCCUGAGUUUUGGGAUCGGGGUUGUGUUUGCAGUGUCGUUCGGGAUCGGUGAUUAUUUACUGACUUUAUUCCGAGUUCCCAUCAUUACUGGAAUAAUGUUUGUCAUUGCUGGAAUCUUGUCUAAUCUUCUGUACAAACAUCCCAAUCUUCUACAGACUUGUUUCAUUGCUAACAUCGGGUGUCUGGCCGUGUCUGGGAUCGGAGUGAUUCUCCUGAUUGUUGACCUUCAACCAGGUGGAAAUAUGAUCCAGGACAAGAUGGAGGUCCUGGUGCUGUGUGUGACUCUGAUGGACAUGCUCAUCGCUGCGGUGCUCAUAUACUGGUUUUACAGAGAGAAGCGUGACCAUAAACAGUGA